This 480-nucleotide ribosomal RNA is filed under the name uncultured bacterium. Its description in RNAcentral is "partial 16S ribosomal RNA". It matches the Rfam family "Bacterial small subunit ribosomal RNA", at positions 28 to 507 of the family's 1533-position model. The record is from RNAcentral.
GACGAACGCUGGCGGCGUGCUUAACACAUGCAAGUCGAACGAUGAAGAAAAGAAUCGCAGCUUCGGCAGAAAUUCAUUUCGGAUUAGUGGCAGACGGGUGAGUAACGCGUGAGCAACCUACCUCUUACAAAGGGAUAGCCUCGGGAAACCGGGAUUAAUACCAUAUAACAUUGUGACGAAGCAUUUCGAUGCAAUCAAAGCUACGGCGGUAAGAGAUGGGCUCGCGUCCCAUUAACCGGAUGGUGAGGUAACGGCUCACCAUAGUGACGAUGGGUAACCGGCCUGAGAGGGUGAACGGUCACACUGGAACUGAGACACGGUCCAGACUCCUACGGGAAGCAGCAGUGGGGAAUAUUGCACAAUGGAGGGAACUCUGAUGCAGCGACGCCGCGUGAGUGAUGAAGGAAUUCGUUUCGUAAAACUCUGUUCUAUGGGAAGAAAAGGACUGUACCAUAGGAGAAAGCUCCGGCUAAAUACGUG